RNAcentral lists this small nuclear RNA (107 nucleotides) under Salvator merianae (Argentine black and white tegu). The record is from RNAcentral. Lineage: Eukaryota; Metazoa; Chordata; Lepidosauria; Squamata; Teiidae.
GAGCUCAUUUCAGCAGCAGAUUUACUAAAAUUGGAGCAAUACAGAGAAGAUUAGCAUGGUCCCUGCAUAAGGAUGACAUGCAAAUUUGUAAAACGUUCCAUUUUUUG